RNAcentral lists this ribosomal RNA (189 nucleotides) under Vibrio parahaemolyticus. RNAcentral's name for it is "partial 23S ribosomal RNA". Lineage: Bacteria; Pseudomonadati; Pseudomonadota; Gammaproteobacteria; Vibrionales; Vibrionaceae. The record is from RNAcentral.
AUCGAUAACCGCUGAAAGCAUCUAAGCGGGAAGCGAGCYCUGAGAUGAGUCUUCCCUGAUACUUUAAGUAUCCUAAAGGGUUGUCGGAGACUACGACGUUGAUAGGUCAGGUGUGUAAGUGCUGUGAGGCAUUGAGCUAACUGAUACUAAUUGCCCGUGAGGCUUAACCAUACAACACCCAAGGGGUUU